GAUGAACGCUGGCGGCGUGCCUAAUACAUGCAAGUCGAGCGAACAGACGAGGAGCUUGCUCCUCUGACGUUAGCGGCGGACGGGUGAGUAACACGUGGAUAACCUACCUAUAAGACUGGGAUAACUUCGGGAAACCGGAGCUAAUACCGGAUAAUAUAUUGAACCGCAUGGUUCAAUAGUGAAAGACGGUUUUGCUGUCACUUAUAGAUGGAUCCGCGCCGCAUUAGCUAGUUGGUAAGGUAACGGCUUACCAAGGCAACGAUGCGUAGCCGACCUGAUAGGGUGAUCGCCCACCCUGGAGCUGAGCCACGGUCAAGACUCCUACGGGAGGCAGCAGUCGGGAACCUGCCGCAAUGGGCGAAAGCCUGACGGAGCAACGCCGCGUGAGUGAUGAAGGUCUUCGGAUCGUAAAACUCUGUUAUUAGGGAAGAACAAAUGUGUAAGUAACUAUGCACGUCUUGACGGUACCUAAUCAGAAAGCCACGGCUAACUACGUG
RNAcentral lists this ribosomal RNA (497 nucleotides) under uncultured bacterium. RNAcentral's name for it is "partial 16S ribosomal RNA". It matches the Rfam family "Bacterial small subunit ribosomal RNA", at positions 28 to 507 of the family's 1533-position model. The record is from RNAcentral.